This 497-nucleotide ribosomal RNA is filed under the name uncultured bacterium. RNAcentral's name for it is "partial 16S ribosomal RNA". It matches the Rfam family "Bacterial small subunit ribosomal RNA", at positions 28 to 507 of the family's 1533-position model. The record is from RNAcentral.
GAUGAACGCUGGCGGCGUGCCUAAUACAUGCAAGUCGAGCGAACGGACGAGAAGCUUGCUGCUCUGACGUUAGCGGCGGACGGGUGAGUAACACGUGGAUAACCUACCUAUAAGACGGGGAAAAUUUCGGGAAACGGGAGCUAAUACGGGAGAAUAUUUUGAACCGCAGGGGUGAAAAGUGAAAGACGGUCUUGCGGGAAGGAAUAGCUGGAUCCGCGCUGCAUUAGCUAGUUGGUAAGGUAACGGCUUAGCAAGGGAACUAUGCAUAGCCGACCUGAGAGGGUGAUAGGCCACACGGGAGCGGAGCCGCGGUCCAGGCUCCUGCGGUAGGCAGCAGUAGGGUAUCUUCCGCAAUGGGCGGGAGCCUUGCGGAGCAACGCCGCGUGAGUGAUGGCGGCCUUCCGAUCGUAAUGCUCGGUUAUUAGUGAUGAACAGAUGUGUAAGUAACUGUGCACUUCUUGACGGUACCUAGUCAGAAAGCCACGGCUAACUACGUG